RNAcentral lists this long non-coding RNA (165 nucleotides) under Cricetulus griseus (Chinese hamster). Its description in RNAcentral is "lncRNA (ENSCGRG00000025193.1)". Lineage: Eukaryota; Metazoa; Chordata; Mammalia; Rodentia; Cricetidae. The record is from RNAcentral.
AUUCCAAUGCUACUGAAGAUCGCUGUGGUGUGUGCCUUGGAGACGGCUCUGCCUGCCAGACAGUGAAGAAACUGUUUAGACAGAAGGAAGGAUCCGGUGUGCCUCCUACCAUGGCAACCAUUUAACAGAAGACUGCAGCUAGAGUUGAUCAAUACUUUAAAAGAG